AUUGAACGCUGGCGGCAUGCCUUACACAUGCAAGUCGAACGGCAGCACGGACUUCGGUCUGGUGGCGAGUGGCGAACGGGUGAGUAAUGCAUCGGAACGUGCCAUUGAGUGGGGGAUAACGUAGCGAAAGUUGCGCUAAUACCGCAUAUUCUGUGAGCAGGAAAGCAGGGGACCGCAAGGCCUUGCGCUCUUUGAGCGGCCGAUGUCAGAUUAGCUAGUUGGUGAGGUAAAGGCUUACCAAGGCGACGAUCUGUAGCGGGUCUGAGAGGAUGAUCCGCACACUGGAACUGAGACACGGUCCAGACUCCUACGGAGCAGCAGUGGGGAAUUUUGGACAAUGGGGGC
Molecule: ribosomal RNA, 345 nt
Filed under: uncultured bacterium
Lineage: Bacteria
Description: bacterial SSU rRNA
Rfam family: Bacterial small subunit ribosomal RNA
Source: RNAcentral